GAAACUCAUAUUUGGCUGAUAAAACUCUUAAAUGUGACUGAAGUUUAUUCUUUUGGUGUUUUUUGUCUUCAGGGUGAGAUCAAGAUCAUGUGUGUCCAGCUCUAUGUCUCUGAAGAGUGACUGCUCAAAAGAUUAUCCACCAGUGUUCAGUCAGAAAACGCCAUCAUCUGCCAAAAGAAUGAAAUCGGGAUCAUGUGUGUUCAGCUCUUUGUCUCUGAAGACUGAUGGGUCAAUGGGUAAUCCACCAAAGUUUAGAGAGGAAACACAAUCAACUGCCAAAAGUGUUGAACAUGAGUUACCAGAUUCAGGAGGCGAGACUCACAAGAGCCACAAGAGUUUCAAAGACAAUCUCCUGAAGAUCUUCCAGGUGGGAAAAACUCAUUUUCAUUUAUUAAAGGGACUAAAAUAAGUCCAUGAAACACAUACAGAAUGUUUGUGUUGCACUACCGAGUCUCAUUUUAACUUGUUUUAAGGACAUUACAUCAAAGUUGGAUCAGCCUGUAGUGUGUUUUUCCACUUCAAUUUUGAGUGUCACUC
Danio rerio (zebrafish) is the source of this 537-nucleotide non-coding RNA. Lineage: Eukaryota; Metazoa; Chordata; Actinopteri; Cypriniformes; Danionidae. The record is from RefSeq and is a predicted model, not a curated record.